RNAcentral lists this ribosomal RNA (497 nucleotides) under uncultured bacterium. RNAcentral describes it as "partial 16S ribosomal RNA". It matches the Rfam family "Bacterial small subunit ribosomal RNA", at positions 28 to 507 of the family's 1533-position model. The record is from RNAcentral.
GAUGAACGCUGGCGGCGUGCCUAAUACAUGCAAGUCGAGCGAACGGACGAGAAGCUUGCUUCUCUGAUGUUAGCGGCGGACGGGUGAGUAACACGUGGAUAACCUACCUAUAAGACUGGGAUAACUUCGGGAAACCGUAGCUAAUACCGGAUAAUAUUUUGAACCGCAUGGUUCAAAAGUGAAAGACGGUCUUGCUGUCACUUAUAGAUGGAUCCGCGCUGCAUUAGCUAGUUGGUAAGGUAACGGCUUACCAAGGCAACGAUGCAUAGCCGACCUGAGAGGGUGAUCGGCCACACUGGAACGGAGACACGGACCAGACUCCUACGGGAGGCAGCAGUAGGGAAUCUUCCGCAAUGGGCGAAAGCCUGACGGAGCAACGCCGCGUGAGUGAUGAAGGUCUUCGGAUCGUAAAACUCUGUUAUUAGGGAAGAACGUAUGUGUAAGUAACUGUGCACAUCUUGACGGUACCUAAUCAGAAAGCCACGGCUAACUACGUG